Molecule: ribosomal RNA, 496 nt
Filed under: uncultured bacterium
Lineage: Bacteria
Description: partial 16S ribosomal RNA
Rfam family: Bacterial small subunit ribosomal RNA
Source: RNAcentral
AUGAACGCUGGCGGCGUGCCUAAUACAUGCAAGUCGAGCGAACGGACGAGAAGCUUGCUUCUCUGAUGUUAGCGGCGGACGGGUGAGUGACACGUGGAUAACCUACCUAUAAGACUGGGAUAACUUCGGGAAACCGGAGCUAAUACCGGAUGAUAUUUUGAACCGCAUGGUUCAAAAGUGAAAGACGGUCUUGCUGUCACUUAUAGAUGGAUCCGCGCUGCAUUAGCUAGUUGGUAAGGUAACGGCUUACCAAGGCAACGAUGCAUAGCCGACCUGAGAGGGUGAUCGGCCACACUGGAACUGAGACACGGUCCAGACUCCUACGGGAGGCAGCAGUAGGGAAUCUUCCGCAAUGGGCGAAAGCCUGACGGAGCAACGCCGCGUGAGUGAUGAAGGUCUUCGGAUCGUAAAACUCUGUUAUUAGGGAAGAACAUAUGUGUAAGUAACUGUGCACAUCUUGACGGUACCUAAUCAGAAAGCCACGGCUAACUACGUG